Heterocephalus glaber (naked mole-rat) is the source of this 1634-nucleotide long non-coding RNA. The record is from Ensembl. Lineage: Eukaryota; Metazoa; Chordata; Mammalia; Rodentia; Bathyergidae.
GGCAGAUGUAUCCAUGAUGGCUCAGAAGUCUCAGCCCUGCUGAUGGAAAGUGUAUGAAAUGAAAACUAUGGGAACAUGGUUUCCCCUCAGGAGCAAGGGCAAGUCACUGCCCACUGGCACUCUGGGAGGACACAGAAAUACUGCCCAGGACUCAUCCCACAGUCUUGCUGAGGCACAUGCUCUUGCCGGAUGUGCUUCCACACAAAGCCCACUGAGUGAGUACAAGUUCCAAAAGUUAGAUCUGCAAAGGUCUGAGGAUCUUCAGCAUUUUGUCACUCCUGAGCAAGUGAGGAAAGAUGAAGGAAAGAAAUUAAGGAAAAGAAGAAAGCAAGCAAAAAACUUAGCAAAGAUGUCAUUGCAUAAUAGUCCAUUAUGCCUCCAAUUGAGCCGUCAUGAACUAUCAAAGAAAUAAUUGCACAAUAGACCAUAAUGGCUUAAUCGUGUCAACAUCUUUACAUUUACAUAUUUUUUUAAUCAAUGGAAAUUAAGUACAAAAAUGGGUCUUUUGGUUUCCAUCCUGAUUUUACCUUUGCGAUUGGGGGUGGGGUGAAGGACUGCGUUCCCUCUGCCACCUUCAGGGGAGGCUGGACGCCCUGCAAGUUUCCCGGAGGAUCUGAUGGUUUGUCUGUGGAUGCUGCAAGGGCAUUGGCAGGGCAACUAGCCAGGGCAAGAAGACACAACACGGUGCUCUGCUGGCCACUGUAACAGGAGCCAGAAGGGGCGAACUUUGGUGUCGCCUCAGGAUCUGGCAUGUACUUGACCUCUGACUUCUGCGGAAACACAGGUUCUCUCUUUCUCCGCCCAACUCCCCCGGUGCGUGCCUUUCUAGUCCUAGACACUUACCAUGCAUGACAAAGGCCCCAGAACCACAGUUCUUCUCUCCAAAGGGAGAAGUCACCCUUUAAGUAGCUUGACCCUUCAGCCAUUCACAGUGGCAGUGGCCCCACUUUGACUUUGUCACAGCUCUUUCUGCUUGGGGUUUGUCCAUGCAGUGUGGUAAAAAGAAUAUAGUGUCGGUUUAAAUUUUUUAAAAAUUGUAUUACAGAAAAAGACACAUUGUCCUUAAUCCCCCUCAAAGUACUUUCCUUCAUUUUGAACACACUUAGCCCAUCGUUUUUGCCACGUUCUGAAGCAGUUCUGGAAGUCCACUUUUGUGAAUGUCUUUAGUUGCACACUUGUGGCUGCCUCAAUGUCUUGAUUUAAUUCAAAAUAUUUACCUUUCAUGGCCAUUUUGAUUUGAGGGAAGAGCCAGAAGUCAGAUAGUGCCAGAUCAGGUGAAAAGGAUGAGGACACACCGUAAUGUUUGUAUAAGCCCGCCUGCCUUUCCUUUGGAUGGUGGAUGGCAGCAGCAUUCGUUGUAUUUUUGAUCACAUCCUAUAAAGACAUUCAUGGAAAAGGACUUUCAGAACUGCUCAGAAAAUUUCAAAAAAUGAUGGGAUGAUUUAUGUUUAAAGGGAAAGGGACCUUCUGAGGGGGAUUAGUGGCAAUGUAUCUUUUACUGUAACAAAUUUUUAAAGUUUAAACAUUCAUAUUUUUUGAUCACUCCUAUAGCUUGAUGACCUGGUGGAGUUAAACCAGUAGAACCAACAGGCCCUUCCCUUCUUCCUUUUCCUCCUGUCUGCAGCCCAUUCAGG